RNAcentral lists this ribosomal RNA (703 nucleotides) under uncultured bacterium. RNAcentral describes it as "bacterial SSU rRNA". It matches the Rfam family "Bacterial small subunit ribosomal RNA", at positions 63 to 801 of the family's 1533-position model. The record is from RNAcentral.
CGAACGGAGAAUUGCUAGCUUGCUAAUAAUUCUCUAGUGGCGCACGGGUGAGUAACACGUGAGUACCUGCCCCCAAGAGUGGGAUAGCCCCGGGAAACUGGGAUUAAUACCGCAUAAAGCAAUAAAGCAGCAAUGCGCUUGGGGAUGGGCUCGCGUCCUAUUAGUUAGUUGGUGAGGUAACGGCUCACCAAGGCGAUGACGGGUAGCCGGUCUGAGAGGAUGUCCGGCCACACUGGAACUGAGACACGGUCCAGACACCUACGGGUGGCAGCAGUCGAGAAUCAUUCACAAUGGGGGAAACCCUGAUGGUGCGACGCCGCGUGGGGGAUAAGGUCUUCGGAUUGUAAACCCCUGUCAUGUGGGACAUUAAAAGAUAGUACCACAAGAGGAAGAGACGGCUAACUCUGUGCCAGCAGCCGCGGUAAUACAGAGGUCUCAAGCGUUGUUCGGAAUCACUGGGCGUAAAGCGUGCGUAGGCGGUUUCGUAAGUCGUGUGUGAAAGGCGGGGGCUCAACCCCCGGACUGCACAUGAUACUGCGAGACUAGAGUAAUGGAGGGGGAACCGGAAUUCUCGGUGUAGCAGUGAAAUGCGUAGAUAUCGAGAGGAACACUCGUGGCGAAGGCGGGUUCCUGGACAUUAACUGACGCUGAGGCACGAAGGCCAGGGGAGCGAAAGGGAUUAGAUACCCCUGUAGUCCUGGCA